GCCUAGGUGGCUCAGUCAGUAGAGCUUGCGACUCUUGAUCUGGGGUUGUGGGUUUGAGCCCCACAUUGGGUA
RNAcentral lists this transfer RNA (72 nucleotides) under Ailuropoda melanoleuca (giant panda). It matches the Rfam family "tRNA". Rfam says of the family: Transfer RNA (tRNA) molecules are approximately 80 nucleotides in length. Their secondary structure includes four short double-helical elements and three loops (D, anti-codon, and T loops). Further hydrogen bonds mediate the characteristic L-shaped molecular structure. tRNAs have two regions of fundamental functional importance: the anti-codon, which is responsible for specific mRNA codon recognition, and the 3' end, to which the tRNAs corresponding amino acid is attached (by aminoacyl-tRNA synthetases). tRNAs cope with the degeneracy of the genetic code in two manners: having more than one tRNA (with a specific anti-codon) for a particular amino acid; and 'wobble' base-pairing, i.e. permitting non-standard base-pairing at the 3rd anti-codon position. Lineage: Eukaryota; Metazoa; Chordata; Mammalia; Carnivora; Ursidae. The record is from Rfam by way of RNAcentral.